UACGAAGGGUGCAAGCGUUACUCGGAAUUACUGGGCGUAAAGCGUGCGUAGGUGGUUCGUUAAGUCUGUCGUGAAAGCCCCGGGCUCAACCUGGGAAUGGCGAUGGAUACUGGCGGGCUAGAGUGCGGUAGAGGGUGGUGGAAUUCCCGGUGUAGCAGUGAAAUGCGUAGAGAUCGGGAGGAACAUCAGUUGCGAAGGCGGCCACCUGGACCAGCACUGACACUGAGGCACGAAAGCGUGGGGAGCAAACGGG
Molecule: ribosomal RNA, 253 nt
Filed under: uncultured bacterium
Lineage: Bacteria
Description: partial 16S ribosomal RNA
Rfam family: Bacterial small subunit ribosomal RNA
Source: RNAcentral